RNAcentral lists this ribosomal RNA (423 nucleotides) under uncultured bacterium. Its description in RNAcentral is "partial 16S ribosomal RNA". It matches the Rfam family "Bacterial small subunit ribosomal RNA", at positions 359 to 774 of the family's 1533-position model. The record is from RNAcentral.
GAAUAUUGGACAAUGGGCGAAAGCCUGAUCCAGCCAUGCCGCGUGUGUGAAGAAGGUCUUCGGAGUGUAAAGCACUCUAAGUUGGGAGGAAAGGCAGUAAGCGAAUACCUUGCUGCAUUGACGUUACCGACAGAAUAAGCACCGGCUAACUCUGUGCCCGCAGCCGAUGUAAUACAGAGGGAGCAAGCGUUAAUCGGAAUUACUGGGCGUAAAGCGCGGGUAGGUUGUUCGUGUAGUUGGAUGUGAAAUCCCCGGGCUCAACCUGGGAACUGCAUCCAAAACUGGCGGGCUAGAGUAGGGCAGAGGGUGGUGGAAUUUCCUGUGUAGCGGUGAAAUGCGUAGAUAUAGGAAGGAACACCAGUGGCGAAGGCGACCACCUGGGCUCAUACUGACACUGAGGUGCGAAAGCGUGGGGAGCAAACA